GACGAACGCUGGCGGCGUGCUUAACACAUGCAAGUCGAACGGAAAGGCCCUGCUUGCAGGGUACUCGAGUGGCGAACGGGUGAGUAACACGUGGGUGAUCUGCCCUGCACUUCGGGGUAAGCCUGGGAAACUGGGUCUAAUACCGGAUAGGGGCCAUUUUGAGUGAGGGGGUGGGAUAGAAUUUUCGGUGUGGGAUGAGCUCGCGGCCUAUUAGCUUGUUGGUGGGGUAAGGGCCUACCAAGGCGGCGACGGGUGGCCGGCCGGGGAGGGUGGACGGCCAAAUUGGGACUGGGAUACGGCCCAGACUCCUACGGGAGGCAGCAGUGGGGAAUAUUGCACAAUGGGCGCAAGCCUGAUGCAGCGACGCCGCGUGGGGGAUGACCGCCUUCGGGUUGUAAACUCCUUUCGCUAGGGACGAAGCUGUUUGUGACGGUACCUAGAUAAGAAGCACCGGCUAACUACGUG
Molecule: ribosomal RNA, 465 nt
Filed under: uncultured bacterium
Lineage: Bacteria
Description: partial 16S ribosomal RNA
Rfam family: Bacterial small subunit ribosomal RNA
Source: RNAcentral